RNAcentral lists this ribosomal RNA (383 nucleotides) under uncultured eukaryote. RNAcentral's name for it is "partial 18S ribosomal RNA". It matches the Rfam family "Eukaryotic small subunit ribosomal RNA", at positions 592 to 976 of the family's 1831-position model. The record is from RNAcentral.
CAAUAGCGUAUAUUAAAGUUGUUGCAGUUAAAAAGCUCGUAGUUGGAUUUCUGGUGGGAGCGAUCGGUCUGGCGCUUAGCGCGAGUACUUGCAUCGUCUCCGGCCAUCCUUGGGGAAAGUCUGUCUGGCAUUAAGUUGUCGGGCAGAGGAUCCUCAUCGUUUACUGUGAAAAAAUUAGAGUGUUCAAAGCAGGCUUAUGCCGUUGAAUAUAUUAGCAUUGAAUAAUAAGAUAGGACUUUGGUACUAUUUUGUUGGUUUGCGCACCAAAGUAAUGAUUAAUAGGGACAGUUGGGGGUAUUCGUAUUCCGUUGUCAGAGGUGAAAUUCUUGGAUUUACGGAAGACGAACUACUGCGAAAGCAUUUACCAAGGAUGUUUUCAUUAA